This 251-nucleotide ribosomal RNA is filed under the name uncultured bacterium. RNAcentral's name for it is "partial 16S ribosomal RNA". It matches the Rfam family "Bacterial small subunit ribosomal RNA", at positions 527 to 779 of the family's 1533-position model. The record is from RNAcentral.
CGGAGGUGCAAGCGUUAAUCGGAAUUACUGGGCGUAAAGCGCACGCAGGCGGCUUUAAGUCGGAUGUGAAAGCCCCGGGCUCAACCUGGGAAUUGCAUCUGAUACUGGGAAGCUAGAGUAUGUGAGAGGGGGUAGGAAUUCCAAGUGUAGCGGUGAAAUGCGUAGAGAUUUGGAGGAAUACCAGUGGCGAAGGCGGCCCCCUGGCACAAUACUGACGCUCAGGUGCGAAAGCGUGGGGAGCAAACAGGAUU